RNAcentral lists this transfer RNA (78 nucleotides) under Candidatus Bathyarchaeota archaeon. RNAcentral's name for it is "tRNA-Arg". It matches the Rfam family "tRNA". From Rfam's summary of the family: Transfer RNA (tRNA) molecules are approximately 80 nucleotides in length. Their secondary structure includes four short double-helical elements and three loops (D, anti-codon, and T loops). The record is from RNAcentral. RNAcentral also lists the same sequence under 1 other name. Lineage: Archaea; Thermoproteati; Candidatus Bathyarchaeota.
GGGCCCGUGGCGCAGCAUGGAUAGCGCAUCGGCCUUCUAAGCCGGGGGUCACGGGUUCAAAUCCCGUCGGGCCCGCCA